GACCUUUUUAAGCGAUACAAUUCUCUAAAAUUUAGAGCAUAAAUGGAUCUUUAGCAUUUUUAAUAUAAAAAGGUUUUUUUUUUUCUUUUUUUUUUACAAUAAAGCUGCUGUUGCCUCCAGCACCGACGCACGUUUCUAGCCACUCUUCCAGCCAACCGCACCGCAUGAUCCCGCCAGCCGCUCAACCUUCUCCGAUCGCUAUUCUCCGCCGCAGUUCGCCAGCCCUGCAAGUCCGCCUGCGGAUCGUGGUGAAGCCCGCUACUGCCAUUGGUUCAGCACCUUCGUUCGCUAGAAUCUUGGGUUCUUGGAUCGAAGUUUCGAGGCAUUAUUCGACAUUGUCCAGCAGCUUUGAUGGUGAAAUUGGGGCGUUUUCGGCACAUUUUGUGGGUAAGAUUGUAGUUUUCAGAUGGUUGAAAUUUGGGUUUUUAGCCCUUGGAAUUAAGUAUCACACAUAAGAAUGGGUUACAAUUAUGGAUUGAUAUUAAAAUUGAUUUUUUAGGGAAACUUAGGAGUUUUACUCAAGAUAAAGAGGGAUUUGGUUUACUAAUUACCUAGACUUAAUAUGAAGAUCCUAUUGGGGUUGGCAUUCAUAAUUCACAAGAAUGUUUAAACAAUUCAAAUAUUGGUAGACUCUUGUCCAAAGGAGUUUCUUUGAAACCUGAACAAGAAGUUUUAUAUCAAGCUCAUCGGUAUGUUUUGGAAAAUAUAAUUGAUGUGCAACCAUAUUUAGAAAAACAUAUGAUGGCUUUGCAAUUGCAACAUCGAAAUAAGUCCAAAAAUCAGAAAUGGAUUCAAGAGGAGCAUAAUCAGACUUUUAUAUCUUGGCGAUGAGAAGAGAUUGAUACAAGGAAACCGUACUCAUAAAUCAAGUUAAAGGAGGUGCGGAUAGAGUCGGCUGAAUUUUUAGGUUGCUACAUGUGAUCGUGGUUGUUCAUUUUUGCUUAGAUUGUAUAUGUUGACAAUGUUAAAGAAGUUAAGUUUUUAUAAAGAGAUAUCGGUAGUUUUUUGUUCAUAUAUAAGUUGUCAAUGUGUGUAUAUUGUUUAUUUGAUUGAUGAAUGUACGCCAUAUAUAUACCAAAUAUGGUAGUUGGAUCAAAAUACAGGAGCAA
This is a non-coding RNA of Benincasa hispida (wax gourd), 1109 nucleotides long. The record is from RefSeq and is a predicted model, not a curated record. NCBI's taxonomy places the organism in Eukaryota, Viridiplantae, Streptophyta, Magnoliopsida, Cucurbitales, Cucurbitaceae.